UUGGAGGGCAAGUCUGGUGCCAGCAGCCGCGGUAAUUCCAGCUCCAAUAGCGUAUAUUAAAGUUGUUGCAGUUAAAAAGCUCGUAGUUGAAUUUCGGGAUCAGUACGCUGGUCGUGCCUUUGGUAUGUACUGGUGUCACUGAUUCCUCCCUUCUGAAGAACCGUUAUGCCAUUUAUUUGGUGUGGCGGGGAAUCAGGACUGUUACUUUGAAAAAACUAGAGUGUUUAAAGCAGGCUCGCGCUUGAAUACAUUAGCAUGGAAUAAUGUAAUAGGACGUUUGAUCUUAUUUUGUUGGUUUCUAGGAUCGACGUAAUGAUUAAUAGGGAUAGUUGGGGGCAUUAGUAUUCAAUUGUCAGAGGUGAAAUUCUUGGAUUUAUUGAAGACUAACUACUGCGAAAGCAUUUGCCAAGGAUGUUUUCAUUAAUCAAGAACGAAAGUUAGGGGAUCGAAGACGAUCAGAUACCGUCGUAGUCUUAACCAUAAACUAUGCCGACUAGGGAUCGGACGAUGUUAAUUUUUUAAUGACUCGUUCGGCGCCUUACGGGAAAC
RNAcentral lists this ribosomal RNA (549 nucleotides) under uncultured Glomeraceae. RNAcentral's name for it is "SSU rRNA". It matches the Rfam family "Eukaryotic small subunit ribosomal RNA", at positions 548 to 1098 of the family's 1831-position model. Lineage: Eukaryota; Fungi; Glomeromycota; Glomeromycetes; Glomerales; Glomeraceae. The record is from RNAcentral.